This 447-nucleotide ribosomal RNA is filed under the name uncultured bacterium. RNAcentral's name for it is "bacterial SSU rRNA". It matches the Rfam family "Bacterial small subunit ribosomal RNA", at positions 331 to 792 of the family's 1533-position model. The record is from RNAcentral.
CCAGACUCCUACGGGAGGCAGCAGUGGGGAAUAUUGGGCAAUGGGCGCAAGCCUGACCCAGCAACGCCGCGUGAAGGAAGAAGGCUUUCGGGUUGUAAACUUCUUUUAUCAGGGACGAAGCAAGUGACGGUACCUGAUGAAUAAGCCACGGCUAACUACGUGCCAGCAGCCGCGGUAAUACGUAGGGGGCGAGCGUUAUCCGGAUUCACUGGGUGUAAAGGGAGCGUAGACGGCCAUGCAAGCCAGGGGUGAAAGCCCGGGGCCCAACCCCGGGACUGCCCUUGGAACUGCAUGGCUGGAGUGCGGGAGGGGCAGGCGGAAUUCCUGGUGUAGCGGUGAAAUGCGUAGAUAUUAGGAGGAACACCAGUGGCGAAGGCGGCUUACUGGACUGUAACUGACGUUGAGGCUCGAAGGCGUGGGGAGCGAACAGGAUUAGAUACCCGAGUA